UAGGGAAUCUUCGGCAAUGGGGGCAACCCUGACCGAGCAACGCCGCGUGAGUGAAGAAGGUUUUCGGAUCGUAAAGCUCUGUUGUAAGAGAAGAACGUGUGUGAGAGUGGAAAGUUCACACAGUGACGGUAACUUACCAGAAAGGGACGGCUAACUACGUGCCAGCAGCCGCGGUAAUACGUAGGUCCCGAGCGUUGUCCGGAUUUAUUGGGCGUAUAGCGAGCGCAGGCGGUUUAAUAAGUCUGAAGUUAAAGGCAGUGGCUUAACCAUUGUUCGCUGUGGAAACUGUUAAACUUGAGUGCAGAAGGGGAGAGUGGAAUUCCAUGUGUAGCGGUGAAAUGCGUAGAUAUAUGGAGGAACACCGGUGGCGAAAGCGGCUCUCUGGUCUGUAACUGACGCUGAGGCUCGAAAGCGUGGGGAGCAAACAGG
This 429-nucleotide ribosomal RNA is filed under the name bacterium. RNAcentral describes it as "partial 16S ribosomal RNA". It matches the Rfam family "Bacterial small subunit ribosomal RNA", at positions 355 to 776 of the family's 1533-position model. The record is from RNAcentral.